GCGGGGUGGCGGGAAGGUGGGCUCCGUGGAUCUCAUGAAUGGGAUUGGAAUUGCGGUCAACUUUUUACCUAUUUCCAGCGAGCAGUCAGUGUUGCGCCGCGCUGCCGUCAACGUCGCGUUCCCGGUGUCAGUUCGUCCGAGUUGCAUGCGUUCGGCUUUCUCCGCUCGCUCGGGUGUGUUCGUGUGUUCUCUGUGACUUGCGCCCCUUUCGUACCUUUCGUCAGGUGUUUACGGCCCGCUCGGAUAUAUUCGCCGUGUGCCGAAAUGUGAUGCCCAUGUGGAUUAAUUAUGUGUUCGUAAGAUGAUCAGGAAAAGCGAUGCGGGCUGACACGGCCUCGUGGCUGGCGGCCGGCGUGGCAGGGCCGCUGGUCGGCGUCUGGCUCGGCUGGGCCGCGCUGAUCGUCUACUCGCACCGCGCGCAAUGGCGGCUCCUGGACCCGCUCCUGCUGGCCCUCCUCCUCCUGGCGCUUGCCCGGCAACUCGCCGCUGCCGCCCUCACGGCCGUCCACCUCCUCCGGCCCUCCGACGACUGGUGCUCCGCGCUCGCCUUCCUCCUCGCCGCCGCCGACGCCAUGCAGGCUGCCACCCUCGCCACCCUCGUCUUCUCCAAGUUCCUCCACCUCCGCCUCCCUCGCGACAAGUUCCGCAAGACCCUCUCCAAGUCCCACCUCAUCUACCACCUCGCCUGCCUCGUCCUCAUCAGCUCCUGCAUUGGCGUCGCUGCCGUCAUCGGCAAGACUGACCAUUGUGUCUACUAUUCUGACAAGAGGUACAUCUCCUUCUGGCUGACGCUCCACAGUACCCUGAUCGUGCUCUCCUUCUGCGUGCUGAUCUACAGCAGCUGCCUCCGCGGGAGCGUGGGUACCUCCGUCUCCAACACAUACUACCAAAACCAACGGCGCCUCCUGCUCAACUCAUCCUCCGACCUGUCAUGCGCUUUGUCGGACAUCUCGAUGCUCUCGUCCAAGUCACGAAACCGCGGCGUCAACUACUCGGUGAGCAACUGCUCCUCCAACUUGAACCGACGGCACUGCCUGGUGGAGGAGCUCCUGCGGAAUCAGGUCUACGUGAACGGGGACUGCAAGUUCGUCUACAACACCCAGCUGAGCUGCGGCUCGGGGUCCGUGUUGAACGACAAGUUGAGCGCGUCCCAGCAGAUGCUCACCGAGGAGUUGAGGGUCCCGGAGGAAGCGAGGUUGAUGGAGGACUCGGCGAGUUGUGCUGCGCUUCAUGACUGCCAUCUCUCGACGACGACCACUUCGCCCUCGUCGACCAACAGUCGGGCGCCUGUCCUAGCGGCCAAGCAUCGACGUCCCGACCUGGAGGUCCCGCUCAUGACCGUCGCGGCUGUCUCAGUUCUCUGCUUCUUCACCAGUCAUCUUCCUGUCAUGGUGGUGGCGUUUAUGGAGGUGAUCUUGCAGCAGUCGUUGGGACUACCUUGGUCAUCGGAGAACUUCCCGAUCUGGGCGUCCCUUGUCGAGGGCUGUCUUCUCCCGGUCGUUCUCCUCAUAUUCGACGACCAAUUCCCGGCCCGCAUCGCUCACAUCUACAAGCGACGCUCCCCGGCCGAUGUCGCCGGAAAACCACCCCAAGGGCUUUACGGAAAGUUCAGGCCAUUCAAUAACAGUUCAAUGAUGGAGUCGAGGCGGACGACGAUGGAGCCAGUGAGAUUCCCAAUCACGAACGGGUCUUUGUUCACAAGUUUGGACGGCCGCAUACCUAUUGUCCACAACUACAGACGAGGAAAGUGUGAGUAUGGCGCAGACUAUUCAAGUAUAGGAAGAAUUCAAUUCCACCAACCAUAUGUAGAGAUAUUACUUUGA
Molecule: long non-coding RNA, 1823 nt
Filed under: Bemisia tabaci
Lineage: Eukaryota; Metazoa; Arthropoda; Insecta; Hemiptera; Aleyrodidae
Description: lncRNA ENSSSA1NGG008817
Source: RNAcentral